AUUGAACGCUGGCGGCAGGACUAACACAUGCAAGUCGAACGAGUGGCGGAAGGGUGAGUAAUGUCUGGGCAACUGACCGAUGGAGGGGGAUAACUACUGGAAACGGUAGCUGAAACCGCAUACCAUCGGAUGUGCCCAGAUGGGAUUAGCUAGUAGGUGGGGUAAUGGCUCACCUAGUCGACGAACCCUAGCUGGUCUGAGAGGAUGACCAGCCACACUGGACCGGAGGCACGGUCCAGACUCCUACGGGAGGCAGCAGUUGGGAAUAUUGCACAAGGGGCGCAAGCCUGAUGCAGCCAUGCCGCGUGUAUGAAGAAGGCCUUCGGGUUGUAAAGUACUUUCAGCGGGGAGGCGUUACCCGCAGAAGAAGCACCGGCUAACUCCGUGCCAGCAGCCGCGGUAAUUC
Molecule: ribosomal RNA, 406 nt
Filed under: uncultured bacterium
Lineage: Bacteria
Description: partial 16S ribosomal RNA
Rfam family: Bacterial small subunit ribosomal RNA
Source: RNAcentral